GGGGGCAUAGCUCAGUUGGUAGAGCACGAGCUUUGCAAGCUCGGGGUCGCCGGUUCGAACCCGGUUGCCUCCACCA
This 76-nucleotide transfer RNA is filed under the name Lentisphaerae bacterium RIFOXYC12_FULL_60_16. RNAcentral's name for it is "tRNA-Ala". It matches the Rfam family "tRNA". Rfam says of the family: Transfer RNA (tRNA) molecules are approximately 80 nucleotides in length. Their secondary structure includes four short double-helical elements and three loops (D, anti-codon, and T loops). Lineage: Bacteria; Pseudomonadati; Lentisphaerota. The record is from RNAcentral.